AGUGAACGCUGGCGGUAGGCCUAACACAUGCAAGUCGAACGGCAGCACAGUAAGAGCUUGCUCUUACGGGUGGCGAGUGGCGGACGGGUGAGGAAUACAUCGGAAUCUACUUUUUCGUGGGGGAUAACGUAGGGAAACUUACGCUAAUACCGCAUACGACCUACGGGUGAAAGCAGGGGAUCUUCGGACCUUGCGCGAUUGAAUGAGCCGAUGUCGGAUUAGCUAGUUGGCGGGGUAAAGGCCCACCAAGGCGACGAUCCGUAGCUGGUCUGAGAGGAUGAUCAGCCACACUGGAGCUGGGACACGGUCCAGACUCCUACGGGAGGCAGCAGUGGGGAAUAUUGGACAAAGGGCGCAAGCCUGAUCCAGCCAUACCGCGUGGGUGAAGAAGGCCUUCGGGUUGUAAAGCCCUUUUGUUGGGAAAGAAAAGCAGCAGGUUAAUACCCCGCUGUUCUGACGGUACCCAAAGAAUAAGCACCGGCUAACUUCGUG
Molecule: ribosomal RNA, 492 nt
Filed under: uncultured bacterium
Lineage: Bacteria
Description: partial 16S ribosomal RNA
Rfam family: Bacterial small subunit ribosomal RNA
Source: RNAcentral